This 120-nucleotide transfer RNA is filed under the name Streptomyces durmitorensis. RNAcentral describes it as "tRNA-OTHER". It matches the Rfam family "tRNA". Rfam says of the family: Transfer RNA (tRNA) molecules are approximately 80 nucleotides in length. Their secondary structure includes four short double-helical elements and three loops (D, anti-codon, and T loops). Further hydrogen bonds mediate the characteristic L-shaped molecular structure. tRNAs have two regions of fundamental functional importance: the anti-codon, which is responsible for specific mRNA codon recognition, and the 3' end, to which the tRNAs corresponding amino acid is attached (by aminoacyl-tRNA synthetases). tRNAs cope with the degeneracy of the genetic code in two manners: having more than one tRNA (with a specific anti-codon) for a particular amino acid; and 'wobble' base-pairing, i.e. permitting non-standard base-pairing at the 3rd anti-codon position. The record is from RNAcentral. Lineage: Bacteria; Bacillati; Actinomycetota; Actinomycetes; Kitasatosporales; Streptomycetaceae.
GGAGCCGUGGCAGAGCGGUCCAAUGCGAUCGGCGUGGGGGAAGCCCCUCUCGCGUCGACUGGUGGGAACAGGGCGGGCCUUGCCCUUCCUCGCCCGCGGGUUCGAAUCCCGUCGGCGCCG